GACGAACGCUGGCGGCGUGCUUAACACAUGCAAGUCGAACGGACAGGCCCUGCUUUUGUGGGUUGCUCGAGAGGCGAACGGGUGAGUAACACGCGAGUAACAUGCACUUGACUGUGGGGUAAAUUCACGGGAAUGGGGAUCAUAUCGGGUAGGAGCUCCUGCUGCGUGGGGGGGGUUGGUAAGUUUCGGCGGUGGGGGAUGGACUCGCGGCUUAUGAGCUUGAUGGGGUGGUAGUGGCUUACCAGGGCUUCGAGGGGUAGCCGGCCUUGGAGAGUGACCGGCCACAAUGGUACUGCGGUACGGACCAGUCGGCAACCGUCGGCAACAGGGGGAAAUAUUGCACAGUGGGCGGAAGCCUGAUGCAGCAAUCCCGCGUGCGGGAUGACGGCCUUCGGGUGGUAAACCGCUGUCGCCUGAGACGAGGCCUGAGUGACGGUAAUGAGUAAAGAAGCACCGGCUAACUACGUG
This 468-nucleotide ribosomal RNA is filed under the name uncultured bacterium. Its description in RNAcentral is "partial 16S ribosomal RNA". It matches the Rfam family "Bacterial small subunit ribosomal RNA", at positions 28 to 507 of the family's 1533-position model. The record is from RNAcentral.